UGCUCUAAUCAACUGAGUAGCCCAGCCAGGGCCCAAAUCAGAGAUUUUUAAAUAAAAAUUAUCUAUCUCCUUAUGAUAGUUAUAACAAAACAUCCAGAAGGUCUUUUCUGAGCCCUCUUCUUCAUACAUAUCAGUUACAUAUAGUUUUAUAUAAAAUAUUGGUCUACAGGAUGUUUUCAAGUAUAUAUACUCUUUAUUGCAUUCCUUCAUUUGCAUUAAACAAUAUAAUAUUUAUAUUUUUCAAUAUAGUUUUGGACAAAACACAAAGACAUGAACCUCACUGAAUAAGAGACAUAAUUUAUAGUACAAUGCAUGUUGUCUUCGUGGGAAGAGAAAAGAGGCAAGAAAGAUCUAAAGGGAAUCCAGGGUACUGGCUACCAGGAAUCACAGAAUUUCACAAUACAGUCCACUUUUUGAAAAGCCACAAAGCAGCUAGGAAUGAAAAGCUGAAACAAAGUAGACAUGACAUACAAGUCUACCAAAAAUAUGCAGAUAGUAAGAUCUGGAGAUAAUCUGCCUUGUGCCAUGGGGACAGCUGGCCGAGCUACACCCAAGCGCCAUUGUGGCAGUGAGCUUCAUGGGCAGCUGCAGAUGGCUUCUGAUUGCUUUCCUCACAUUUUAAGCAGCAAUGGGGAGAGUAGCAUGCUCCACAGGUCUCAUCACCAAACAUGAUGUCCUAUUUAAAUUCCUUCUAACUCAGUUAUAAGACAAAGCCUUUGGAAGAAACGAGAAGAAGGUAGAGGAAAUGCAUUAAGUGUAUUGGAAUGGACGUUAAAGGACUGAGGGGAGACACCUGUAAAGUGAUAUAUAUUUUUUUCUUCUGGAAAACAGUUUUCUAUUUAGAUGCUAGACAGUACAGACAAUUAAAAUAAAGGAAGGAUACAUUCUAAGUUAGUCAUUAAGCUAAGGGAAAAAGAGAAGUGGUGAUGCUAAUAAGCCUUUAGUAUUAUACUAAGGAACUGAGUCAUUUAGAGUUGGACCCUAAUCAAUGCAGAGAGGAUUGUAAAUCACAUCUUUCACAAGUUUUUAAUAACACCUACCAGAUGGUAAUGAUGGCCAUAUCUCUUACCACAGAGGAAAUCAGUACCAUUCAGGGGAUGUCAUAGCAAACACAGAAAUACUGACUUUCUAUUAAGAAAGGUCUCCUGAUUGCAGCUUGGAAACAUCUCUGAAAAUGAUUGAGAACAGCAACAGCGUCUUAGAAAUCCAAAGCCUGCCCCAUUUCUUCAGGCAAGGUAACGACCAGCGUUCUGGGAGAACGUCAACCUGUUCUGGGAGAACAGGGAAGGCGUAUGACAGGCCCUGUAAGCCCUCCCUGCUCCGGGUUUACCUGUAGAAAGUCUUCCUAGUGAUAGGCCGAGCGUUGUCCUGCAACAUCAUUACAUUUAUUGGGAGUUUUUGGGUGGAAGGGAGAGUAUGGAGCUUAAAAUGAGUAGUGUUCACAAGUACAGUGUAUCUCCCACACUUAAAGACUGAGGAAGAAGGAAUCACUUUAGCUUGCAGGGAAGAGUAAGCACAGCAUUCUAAAGCAAGUCUGUACCUUCCACAAAGGAGUGGACUAUCUGGAUAAGCACAAGAAGGGGACUUUUAUUGCACUGAUCAUGCAGAGUGAGCACGUGUUGAAGGCAGGGAACAAUUCACUUCAUUUAGGGUCUUGAGUAAAUCCAGUGACGAUCCCAGGCCAUCUUUAGCUUGGUCACUAUGUGUUUGCAAAUAGUCCAUUUUCAAAGUCAAGGGAGCGACUGAAAAAGAAAUAUCCCAAACACAAGAAACAGAUGAGGGUCUGCAAAAAGGUCAUCGCAAAAUCAUUAAGAGCUUCUUAAAGGCUUUGGUAAACUUUUCACUAUGCACGUGCUAUGAGAUGAGCAUGUCACAAAGGGAAGUGGUCACAGCUCCAUGCACUUAUAAGCAGGUCCCAACAAAUAUGUAUCAUUGAGCUUUUCCUGCAUUGUGACAAGGAGGUGUGCAAAGCAGCACAGGGAAAGCAAACCAACAGUACAACAACCAAUUUCCUUGCUUGGUCUCUUAGACCUACAACACAGUGAAGAAUUCUAUAAAUGGAAACAGUUGUCCAAGAAAGGUUGAGAUUUGGAAUUUACAUAGUAUGCACUGGUGAGCAAGCAACUUGUAGAACAGGCACUGGGAUUUAAAAGAGUGGUAAGUCUGGUUGACAGUCUUAA
Molecule: long non-coding RNA, 2180 nt
Organism: Pipistrellus kuhlii (Kuhl's pipistrelle)
Lineage: Eukaryota; Metazoa; Chordata; Mammalia; Chiroptera; Vespertilionidae
Exons: 2
Source: RefSeq, a predicted model, not a curated record